UUAUUUGAUAAGUUUUGUGUACUAUAUUUAUAAAUAUCAUUCUCUUUUAUUUUAUAAUUAGUGAUUUACUAAACACUCAAUAAUAAUUGUCGCUUUUUUCGCAUGACAUCUGUAUAUAGACCAUUCAGUUGCCUAGAGGUUACCAGAUCCUGCACAAUGAUAUUUAACAAAAAGUCAAAUACCGACGCUUUAAUUCUAUAAUGAUAACUAGCUUCAACAUGUUUUUAAAGUGCUUAGUAUCGUCGUAUAAAUAUGAAUAAUAGUGAAAAAUACAUUAAAUAUACCAUGCAUACUUUUGUCACUAAAUAUAACAUGCAUGUUUUUGUUGAUUAUUAUUAUUAUUAUUAUUAACUGUCACCAAGGCAGGCAUAUGCAUGUAUUUAAAUCGCGAACUUAUUAUUGUCUUCCCAAUCUUGAAGCUCGUUAACUUAAAUAGCACAAGUCAUCAACAAAAGAUCAAGUGUUUAGAUUUUUCUUAAACAACUUAAAACUGAUUUCACAGAGAGCUAAGGAUCGGAGAGAGAGGAAAAUAUGGUUCAUAUGCAUUCAUGUUUAAUGUUCUCUCCAAAAUAUCAUUAUGGUAAGUUUUUUUUUUUUUUUUUGCCUCCAUGGUUAUUCUUUCCAAUGGUUUUUAGGGAACCUCCCUCUUCAUCGUCAUUUGAGCAAUGUUAUCCAAUUUCCUCCCCUCAUAUUUUAAAGUACCACAUAUUUUUUUAUUGUUUUAUUAAUUAUUAAUAAUCCUCUUAACAACAUAAUUUUAUAGUAUUAUCAUUAUUUUCAAAUAUAAUUUUAUUGAUAGUUAUUAUAAAUUAAACAAAUCGUAUCAAUAGAAAUUAAAAUAAAAAAU
RNAcentral lists this long non-coding RNA (847 nucleotides) under Citrus x clementina. Its description in RNAcentral is "Citrus clementina (C. clementina) long non-coding RNA (CCLE_LNC006424)". The record is from RNAcentral. Lineage: Eukaryota; Viridiplantae; Streptophyta; Magnoliopsida; Sapindales; Rutaceae.